CUACCAUGCAGUCGAGCGGUAGCACAGAGAGCUUGCUCUCGGGUGACGAGCGGCGGACGGGUGAGUAAUGUCUGGGAAACUGCCUGAUGGAGGGGGAUAACUACUGGAAACGGUAGCUAAUACCGCAUAACGUCGCAAGACCAAAGUGGGGGACCUUCGGGCCUCAUGCCAUCAGAUGUGCCCAGAUGGGAUUAGCUAGUAGGUGGGGUAAUGGCUCACCUAGGCGACGAUCCCUAGCUGGUCUGAGAGGAUGACCAGCCACACUGGAACUGAGACACGGUCCAGACUCCUACGGGAGGCAGCAGUGGGGAAUAUUGCACAAUGGGCGCAAGCCUGAUGCAGCCAUGCCGCGUGUGUGAAGAAGGCCUUCGGGUUGUAAAGCACUUUCAGCGGGGAGGAAGGCGUUAAGGUUAAUAACCUUGUCGAUUGACGUUACCCGCAGAAGAAGCACCGGCUAACUCCGUGCCAGCAGCCGCGGUAAUACGGAGGGUGCAAGCGUUAAUCGGAAUUACUGGGCGUAAAGCGCACGCAGGCGGUCUGUCAAGUCGGAUGUGAAAUCCCCGGGCUCAACCUGGGAACUGCAUUCGAAACUGGCAGGCUAGAGUCUUGUAGAGGGGGGUAGAAUUCCAGGUGUAGCGGUGAAAUGCGUAGAGAUCUGGAGGAAUACCGGUGGCGAAGGCGGCCCCCUGGACAAAGACUGACGCUCAGGUGCGAAAGCGUGGGGAGCAAACAGGAUUAGAUACCCUGGUAGUCCACGCCGUAAACGAUGUCGAUUUGGAGGUUGUGCCCUUGAGGCGUGGCUUCCGGAGCUAACGCGUUAAAUCGACCGCCUGGGGAGUACGGCCGCAAGGUUAAAACUCAAAUGAAUUGACGGGGGCCCGCACAAGCGGUGGAGCAUGUGGUUUAAUUCGAUGCAACGCGAAGAACCUUACCUGGUCUUGACAUCCACAGAACUUUCCAGAGAUGGAUUGGUGCCUUCGGGAACUGUGAGACAGGUGCUGCAUGGCUGUCGUCAGCUCGUGUUGUGAAAUGUUGGGUUAAGUCCCGCAACGAGCGCAACCCUUAUCCUUUGUUGCCAGCGGUUAGGCCGGGAACUCAAAGGAGACUGCCAGUGAUAAACUGGAGGAAGGUGGGGAUGACGUCAAGUCAUCAUGGCCCUUACGACCAGGGCUACACACGUGCUACAAUGGCAUAUACAAAGAGAAGCGACCUCGCGAGAGCAAGCGGACCUCAUAAAGUAUGUCGUAGUCCGGAUUGGAGUCUGCAACUCGACUCCAUGAAGUCGGAAUCGCUAGUAAUCGUAGAUCAGAAUGCUACGGUGAAUACGUUCCCGGGCCUUGUACACACCGCCCGUCACACCAUGGGAGUGGGUUGCAAAAGAAGUAGGUAGCUUAACCUUCGGGAGGGCGCUUACCACUUUGUGAUUCAUGACUGGGG
This 1437-nucleotide ribosomal RNA is filed under the name Klebsiella pneumoniae. Its description in RNAcentral is "bacterial SSU rRNA". It matches the Rfam family "Bacterial small subunit ribosomal RNA". Lineage: Bacteria; Pseudomonadati; Pseudomonadota; Gammaproteobacteria; Enterobacterales; Enterobacteriaceae. The record is from RNAcentral.